Acinonyx jubatus (cheetah) is the source of this 1561-nucleotide long non-coding RNA. RefSeq lists it as uncharacterized. The record is from RefSeq and is a predicted model, not a curated record. Lineage: Eukaryota; Metazoa; Chordata; Mammalia; Carnivora; Felidae. The transcript is spliced from 5 exons.
UACGCCCAAAGGGAUGCCUGGCUGGCUCAGGCUGUAGAGCAUGUGACUCUCCCUCCCUCUCCAGGUCAUGAGUUCAGGUCCCGUGUCGGGUGUAGAGUUUAAAGUAAAAAAAAAAAAAAAAAAAAAAAAAGCAAACAAAAAACAUCCACAAAUGUUUUCUUUUUUUAAGUUUAUUUAUUUAUUUAUUUUGAGAGAGUGGGAGAGAGAAUCCCAAGCAGGCUCCGUACUGUCAGCAUGGAGCCCGACUUGGGAUUCAGACUCACAAACCGUGAGACCAUGACCUGAGCUGAAAUAGAGUCAGGCACUUAGCCAACUGAGCCACCCAAGCGCCCCUCCAUAGUGUUUUGACACUCCUUUAUUUAAAAAAAAAAAUAUUUUUUUUUAUGUUUAUUUUUGAGAGAGAGAGAGAACAUGAGCAGUGAGGGGUCAGAGAGAGAGGGAGACACAGAAUCGGAAGCAGGCUCCAGGCUCGGAGCCGUCAGCACAGAGCCUGACGCGGGGCUCGAACUCACGGACCGGGAGAUCAUGACCUGAGCCGAAAUCGGAUGCUUAACCGACUGAGCCCCCCAGGCACCCCGACACUCCUUUACAAAAGUGGAGCCUAAUUCUCUUCCCUAUCACCCGCUCUGGAGGAAGCCAGCUGCCGUGUUUCGAGAACACCCAAGGAGCCCAGGUGGCGAGGAACUAAAGCCUCCAGCCGAGAGCCAUGUGGGCGGGGCUUCUCCGGUCAUCACAAUUCCGUUUGGAGAGGCUCUCUCUCUCUGCCUGCCGUGUGGACAAUGGACGAAACGGCAGAGGUGAACGUACGCCCCCUUGGGAAGCAGCCACUGCAGUCAUCCACGACCCGAGGAGGGUGAGAGGUGCUGCCUGGUAUGUCUGGAAGGCUUCCUGAAAGAGGAGGUAUGGAUGAUGUGGCUUUGAAGAAGACAGAAGCCAAAGAUCUGAGAAGGGGGAGAAGAAUAAGAAUCUGGCGUGACAUCAGGGAAGUCGUUCCUUCGUUCCUGGCCGCGCGGAGCCUGGUGGGCCAGGAACGUGCUCCCGACCCAUGCAGGAGGCUUGCACGAAGUAGGAGACGUGGCCAAUUUUGCUGGCGAAGGUAGAAGGAAGCCUGGGAGACCCAGCUUCCUAUCAUGGCUAGAGUCGGCUGCUGGCUUGGUCCUUACCCUCUACUGGGAAUGUCUUCGUCUUGUGCACAUAGUCGGCCUUGUUGUUGCAAAUAACAUCCCUGCUAUAAUCACGGGAUGCCCCGAUUUCUUCAUUCCACUCCACGUAACCCCUUCCCACGAGCUCCACCUUCACCAUGGGGUUCACCAGGGUGCUGUUCAGUAUGAGAACCACCUGCCCUUCUAUGCUGGAGCCGGCCGGGUAGACCACAUCCUUGGGCAACACUAAUUCGAUCGACUUCACCACAGACAUGGGGGGUUGGGGUGGUGGAGGAACAUCCUCGCCCCUCCCCCAUGACACUGAGAUCCCCGGUUCCUUGGCCGCGGUGAGGUCACCUGUCUGUGACAUCAUCCAGCCAGGGUUCUGGGAAGGGGCCUCCAGUGGCCAGGAGGGGAGA